AGCGGCGAAAGGGAUAGUAACACGUAGAUCACGUGCCCUCGGGUCAGGGAUAGCGUCGGGAAACUGACGGUAAUACCAGAUAAUGUCUCCGGACCAAAGAUUUAUUGCCCGAGGAGCGGUCUGCGUCCUAUUAGCUAGUUGGUGGGGUAAUAGCCUACCAAGGCGAAGAUGGGUAGCGGGUGUGAGAGCACGACCCGCAUCACUGGGACUGAGAUACUGCCCAGACACCUACGGGUGGCUGCAGUCGAGAAUCUUCCGCAAUGGACGAAAGUCUGACGGAGCGACGCCGCGUGCGGGAUGAAGGCCCUCGGGUUGUAAACCGCUGUCGUAGGGGAGCAAAUUUUGAGCGAUCCUAGGAGGAAGCACCGGCUAAACUCGUGCCAGCAGCCGCGGUAAUACGAGUGGUGCAAACGUUAUUCGGAAUCACUGGGCUUAAAGGGUGCGUAGGCGGCCAUGAAGGUCUGAUGUGAAAUACCACGGCUCAACCGUGGAUUGGCAUUGGAAACCACAUGGCUGGAGUGAGACAGAGGUGAGCGGAACAGAUGGUGGAGCGGUGAAAUGCGUUGAUAUCAUCUGGAACACCGGUGGCGAAAGCGGCUCACUGGGUCUUUACUGACGCUGAGGCACGAAAGCCAGGGGAGCAAACGGGAUUAGAUACCCCGGUAGUCCUGGCUGUAAACGAUGAGUACUAGUCCGAGGG
RNAcentral lists this ribosomal RNA (700 nucleotides) under uncultured bacterium. RNAcentral's name for it is "bacterial SSU rRNA". It matches the Rfam family "Bacterial small subunit ribosomal RNA", at positions 94 to 827 of the family's 1533-position model. The record is from RNAcentral.